UAUGAAGAAGGCCUUCGGGUUGUAAAGUACUUUCAGCGGGGAGGAAGGCGGUGAGGUUAAUAACCUCGCCGAUUGACGUUACCCGCAGAAGAAGCACCGGCUAACUCCGUGCCAGCAGCCCGCGGUAAUACGGAGGGUGCAAGCGUUAAUCGGAAUUACUGGGCGUAAAGCGCACGCAGGCGGUCUGUUAAGUCAGAUGUGAAAUCCCCGGGCUUAACCUGGGAACUGCAUUUGAAACUGGCAGGCUUGAGUCUCGUAGAGGGGGGUAGAAUUCCAGGUGUAGCGGUGAAAUGCGUAGAGAUCUGGAGGAAUACCGGUGGCGAAGGCGGCCCCCUGGACGAAGACUGACGCUCAGGUGCGAAAGCGUGGGGAGCAAACAGGAUUAGAUACCCUGGUAGUCCACGCCGUAAACGAUGUCGACUUGGAGGUUGUUCCCUUGANGAAUGGCUUUCCGGAGCUAACGCGUUAAAGUCGACCCGCUGGGGAGUACCGGCCGC
RNAcentral lists this ribosomal RNA (497 nucleotides) under Pantoea ananatis. Its description in RNAcentral is "bacterial SSU rRNA". It matches the Rfam family "Bacterial small subunit ribosomal RNA", at positions 404 to 889 of the family's 1533-position model. The record is from RNAcentral. Lineage: Bacteria; Pseudomonadati; Pseudomonadota; Gammaproteobacteria; Enterobacterales; Erwiniaceae.